GCUUGCACAAGGGCAGCGCUUGCACCAGGCUGGGGCUUGCACGAGGGCAGAGCUUGCACAAGGGCAGUGUUUGCACGACUUCGGGGCUUGCACAAGAGCGAUGUUUGCACGAGGACUUGGCUUGCACCAGGCUGGGGUUUGCAUGAGGGCCGUGCUCGCACGAGGGGCUCCCCGUGCCAGCCGUCGCCGUGCCCGCAGCUGAGCUUCCAGCGCAAGGUGGGGGUCCUGUACUGCCGGGGGGGGCAGGGGUCGGAGGAGGAGAUGUACAACAACGA
RNAcentral lists this long non-coding RNA (275 nucleotides) under Anas platyrhynchos platyrhynchos (common mallard). RNAcentral's name for it is "lncRNA (ENSAPLG00000028992.1)". The record is from RNAcentral. Lineage: Eukaryota; Metazoa; Chordata; Aves; Anseriformes; Anatidae.